GAGCCUCUGGUGGUGUGGAGCCGCCUCGCCGCGCUUGGCUUGGCUGUGGUGACGCAGCUCGCUAACUCCGCUUUUGCGCUGUGGUGGGCAGCUAGCCUGGAGUAGUGGGUGCUGAUGGUCCAGUUCCUGAUUAACUCGACGCUAACGUUUCACGUUGCCCUCGCAUUUCUUCCUGCUUUCCCUCCUUCUCAGUGACGUGAGGUGGGGUCUGUUUACAUUUUCCAAUAAGGGAGGGGCUUUCCAGCACCGCGGGCGUGUCCGCUUGCUGGUCGUUCCGUAGUGGUCAGCGCCGUGUGCCACUGGCGGUUCUGAUGAAGCCUGUGGCUGGUUACAACUGCAGAGUGUUUUUGCAAAUAUCCCAAAUCACCCUUGAGACUACAAGAAGACGUUAGGAGCUAGCGAGGGUGGACCGGAACAGCGCCCUCAGCGGCUCCUUCCGAAGCUGGCUGUCUGGCUGGUGCAGCCUGCGUGCCAGUCUCAGUGCGGGCCCACUUCCUGUUGUCCUGUAUUUGUUCAGAUAAAGUCAUUCUGUAACACUCAGGGAGACGGGCGGGGAGGGGCGCCAGUCUCCUGGGCGACCUCCUGCGGUUCUCUGGGAGAGCCCUCUGGAGGAGCGGGGCCACCCGCCCUGAGACCUGGUCCGGGUGCGGCUGUGGUCCGCUGCAAGCACUUUUUCCAAGGCUGGAGGAACAGUGUUUCUUUUCCCCGCAGCCGAGCGAGCGAGCGGAGAGCUCCGCCGGUGCCUUGUGACAGCGGCCCGUUGGCCGGCAGCCCUGGGCAUGGCGUCUGGGGUAGCGCAGGGAGCAGCGUGGCAGCCCUGCCCCGGGUUGGGUUAAGGCUGCAGGGGCUGUCGUUCUCUGAGUCCGUCUGUCUCAGCCUUGCCUGCACAGCCUAAGACAGCCGUAUUAAGCCGACUCAAUUGUGCAGCAUUUCAGGCUCCUGACAGCCAGCGUGCUGUUCACUUUGAGUGCAUAAGGGUUUUAGAGAUGAAGCUCUCGCUUCGCAUGAACAGGAGCCAGUCCGUGAGUGACCACAUGGAAGCAGGCGGGCUCACCCAGGGCGUUUCUGUCCGCACCGCUGGGGGAGCUGACAGCGGUUUCCUGACCACGCCGCUCCUGUUGGCAGGAGACCUGGACAGGACGCUUCAAGAUGCCGAGGCAGGAAGUCGGUGCUGUAGGCUUUGUCUAGCUGUGGGCUCGGGACAGGGUCCCUGUCAGCUCUCAGGGCCUUCGCAGUCACUGUAGUUGCUGGGAACAGGAUUCACACUUCUACACGUGUUUCAGGAGUGGAUUUAUUAUUCUGCUUGCACUUUUUAAAUUUCCAGCCUAUGUUUUCUUUUUCUUAAAUUAUACUGAGAAACUACAUUCAUUUCCUGCUUGGAAGUCCUUGUGGCCAACUUCAACUCAACAACACUUUUUCCAAAACAGCUACUUUUAACUAAAUUGCUUGGGAUAUUUCCACGGAAAUGAUAUUAUAGUAAUGUUACCAUUUAAAUCCUAGAGUACAGUUAAUAGUGAAAAAAUGACAAAAUCAUGUUUAUUGCUAUUGUUUAGUAUGUGGUUUUUAAUUUUAUUUAUUUUUAAAAAGAUUUAUUUAUUUGAAAGACAGAGUUACAGAGCAAGAGGGAGAAACAGAGAGAGAGAGAGAGAAUCAACCUUCCACCUGCUGGUUCACUCCUCCAAUGGCUGCAGCAGCCAGGGCUGGGCCAGGCUGAAGCCAGGAGCCAGGGGCUCCAUCCUGGGUCUCCCAGCUGGGUGGCAGGGACCCAAGCUUUUGGGCCAUCUUCCACUGCCUUCCGACGCACAUUAGCUGGAUCAGAAGUGGAACAGCUGGGACUCGAACUUAUGCUCAUAUGAGAUGCUGGCAGUGGCUUAACCCACUGUACCACACCACCAGCCCUUGUUUUUUUUUUUUUUUUUUUAAGUUGCUGUUAAAAUGUAAUGUUAAGCUUUUUUUUUUUUUAAGAUUUAUUUUAUUUAUUUGAAAGAGUUACAGAGAGAGGUAGAGAGAGAAGGAGAGAGAGGUCUUCCAUCCGCUGGUUCACUCCCAAGAUGGCCACAACAGCCAGAGCUACACCGAUCUGAAGCCAGGAGCCAGGAGUCUCCUCCAGGCCUCUCAUGUGGGUGCAGGGGCCCAAAGACUGGGCCAUCUUCCACUGCUUUCCCAGGCCAUAGCAGAGAGCUAGAUUGGAAGAGGAGCAGCCAGGACUUGAACUGGCACCCAUAUAGGAUGCCAGCGCUUCAGGCCAGGGCUUUAACCCGCUGUGCCACAGCGCCAGCCCCAGUGUUAAGCUUUAUCUUUCAACUUUGACCCAAGUAUUAUUUUUCAGGUAGUUUAAAUAAUGUUAUGUUUUUCCAGUUAGGUUAGUAAUAGCUUUCCCUUGUGUUUUGGGUGUUUUGUGGUAAACUAUAAUUCAUUACAUGCCUUUUAAAAAUUUGCAAGAUUCCACAUAUAUAUUUAUAUAAAACGUUAAAAACCCUGUUUAUAAGAAGGUUGAUUAUAUAGACUGAGAAUGGCUUCCCGUGGAAUUCUCCAGGUGUGGGGACGCCGUAAGGCGCCUGACGCUGAGCUGGAAAGCCCUGCCCUCUGCCACUGAAGCUGUGUUGCACAUUAACUUCGGUCCAGUGCUGUCAGUCGGCCGUAGACUCUAAGAACACCUCUACCAAUCUAACAAGUACAAAAACAUAGUAGCAAUGGUUGUGUGCUUUGAAGUUAAGUUUUUAAAAAAUGUAUAUCACUGAAAUUAUGUAAAUUAAAGUGUACAGAUUUUUUUCUUCAUUACAUUUAUGAUUUCAUGAGAUAUAAGACUCAGGGCCUUUCUUUUAAAAUUGUUUUUAGUGCAGUUAUUAUGUGCUGCAUGCCCAGUAAAACAAAGUCCAAAUUUAAAAGUGUAUUUUUUUUUAAAGAUUUAAUUUAUUUCUUUGAGAGGUGGAGUUACGGACAGAGAGAGGGAGAGACAGAGAGAAAGGUCUUCCUUCCACUGGUUCACCCCCCAAAUGGCCACAAUGACAGGAGCUGGGCCAAUCUGAAGCCAGGAGCUUCUUCCCAGUCUCCCACAUGGGCCAUCCCCCACUGCUUUCCCAGGCCAUAGCAGAGAGCUGGAUCGGAACCUCAGGCAGAGGCUUAGCCUACUUCAUCACAGUGCCGGCCCCAAAAGUGUACAUUUUAACAUUGGCUAUAGUGUGGUUAGGUAUUUCAUUUGCUAUGAUCAUACAAUGUACUAUCAAGGAAUUAAUGUUCUAAAUUUAAUUUUAAACUUGUACGUAGUAGGAAUGUCGACUUUUCAUAGCGAAGUUGAUUUGGUUUUCUUAUGGAAUGCAUGGCCCAUGAUUAUUUUAACAGGAAAGAUACUGAUUCUGAGAGUGCAGUUUGGUAACUGCCGAGCACGCAUGCGCAUGAGAUCGUGUGGGGGAGUUCCUGUGGGGCUGCGUUGUUCAGAGUUACGGGGAACUCAGGGAAGUGGCGAUGGCUGACGUCUCGCUGCGGCUUCAUUCUGUUCUAUUCCUUCCUUAAAGCUGUGGGACGCUGGGAGUGACAGACAGACAGGUACAGAACCCUCAGUGAGGUCCCGUGUUCCCCGUAGACUCCCAGGGGCGCUCACUGCACCUUGCUGGGCUGUGGCGUCUGCCUGCUUCGUGCCCUGGGCUCCUUCUAACCGCCGCUGUCAGCCUUCGCAUGGCGCCCAUUCCUGCCUGGCAAGUCUCAGCCCAUGUAAUGCACCUGCCGAGGAGGAUGACGUUUCAGAGGAUAGUUUUUAUCUACGUACAAUGCAAAAUUAUAAGAGUUCCUUCAAGGAAGGCUUAAUGUUUUGGUACCUUUUACCUGGAAAAAAUCUGAUUUUGCAUUUUUAAGUUUAUGUUGAGUAGUUUAAACAAACAUUAACUGCGUUUAGUUUUCUGAGUUAGAAAGUGUUUCUCAUUAAGUCUGACUUAUCAAAUCACUUUGCUGAAAUGAUCUGUUCUUACAACAGGUAAAUUUCACGUAGAAGGCAUGGUAAAUGUUAAAGUAUUAUCUUGUAUUUCCUCCUUCGCCCCUUCCCUCCGGUCUGUCGAUUUCACUAUCAAUAAACCCUUUCCCUAAAAAAAGGAAAGUAUUAUCUUUUAAACUAUCCUGUGUAUUCUCAGAGUGUCAGUUUGUUAAGAAUUUACUGAAUUACUGAAUAUGCUUCUUGCUGUUUCCUUAUCACUUCUGUAUUCUUUCUUUUUCUGAGAUUUCCAUUCAAAAUCAGUAUUUUGGUUAUAAGAUUCAUUUGGUUUCAGAAUGAUCUCAUUAUACAUGAUAAUUUUACAAAAGGCCUGAGAAUUUUAUCUAUAAAUCACAUUGAAUCUGUUAAAAGCUAAUUAAAAAUCAGAAUAAAAAUGUUUUUUACAAGAGGCCCGUCAGGUGACUGCCGUCCGUCCCUCCUCAGGACGGGGACGGACUUACAGUUCUGAUGGAGCUGGAGGAGUGUGUGGAUGGAAUUGUCAGCGUGUGUCUGUCCCUCCUUGCCAAGCGUUCCAGUCACUCGGAUUCUAUGUAUAUAUACGUGUAUAUGUUUAUAGAAAAUUGUAUAUUCUACAUAAUCCCCAACGAGAGAGUUACUUCAGCUGAUAACAUGUGAAACUUUUAAAGAAUCAUGAAAGUAAUGUGAAGCUUUUUUGCAUUAAAAGGCCAGCACCUUUGGCAGCAUGAUUCUGUUGCUGGCUUCGCAGAUUCUCUAUGGGAAUAACAUACGCUUUCCUAUUUUACAUUCUUCACCCUAGGUUGACAAGUUUUAAUUUGGUCCAUGUCUAGUAUAUAUUCUUAUCAGUACCACCAGAAAUAAAGUUCUUUGGGGGAUUUUUUUUAACAACUUUUAUUUUAAGAAUAAUUUUAGGCCUAAAGAAAGAUGUAAAAUAUUGUAGUCCCUUGAUGGUAGCAUCGUCCUUAACGGUAGUGUAAUUACCAAAAGCAGAAACUGAAAUUCAGUUACUGCUAUUUUUGUUCAACAGUGUUGACUAAACUACUGACUUCACUUCGAUUUCUCCGUGUUCGCCGCUGGUGUAGUUUCUGUGGUCCAGGGUUCAAUCCAGUUGUCUCUUGUUGCUGCUUCUCCCCCAUCUGCCCUGUCUCCCUCAGUCUCCCCCAUCUGCCCUGUCUCCCCCAUCUCUCCCAGUCUCCCCCAGUGUCUCCCAGUCUCCCCUGUCUCCCCCAGCUCCCCCAGUCUCCCCCAGUCUCUCCCAGUCUUGCCUUCUCCUUCACGGCUGCCCAGAUGGCUCAGCGCUCAGCAGCUGGUUCUGUAGGAGGUCCCUGGUGUGACUGUCUGAUGUCUCCUCGUGGUGAGGGAGACGCUGCCAUCAUUAGGAAGGCCCUGUGUGGUGCACCCGCCGGGCAGGGGCUUCCUGGUGCUAAGGCCUGCCGCUGCCCGCUCUCAGCUCUGCAGGGUCCUGGGCUCCUGCGUGCGCGAGUGAAUGCCUGCAGCGUCCCGCCCCCGCCGUGCUUCUCCGGGCACUGAGCUCAGCUCUGGCGCUGGGCCUGGUAGGCGCCGCUGUUUUCUGAGGUUUGCCGGACAGCAAACUUUUUCUGUUCCCUUUCUACUUUCAUAAAUGUAUUCCGUUUAUAGAUAGGAUAAGGAAAAGUGAGGGAGAUUGGUGUUUCUUUCUCAUCCAUUUACUUAUUCAAUUAUGAAUUUAUGGACAACAGUUUUGUCUAUGAGUUAUAAUCCAGUAAUUAUUUUGUUGGGCAAAUGUUCCUUUAUGGUUUUUUUUUAAAAAGAUUUAUUUGUUUAUUUGAAAGUCAGAGUUACACAGAGAGAUGGAGAGGCAGAGAGAGAGGUCUUCCAUCUGCUAGUUCACUCCCCAAUUGGCUGCAAUGGCUAGAGCUGUGCCGACCUGAAGCCAGGAGCCAGGAGCUUCUUCCAGGUCUCCCACUUGGGCACAGGGGCUCAAGGACUUGAGCCAUCUUCUACUGCUGUCCCAGACUAUAGAAGAGCGCUGGAGCUGAGCCGAUCCAAAGCCAGGAGCCAGGAGCUUCUUCAGGGUCUCCCAUGGGGUGCAGGGGCUCAAGCACUUGGGCCAUCUUCUACGGCUGUCCCAGGCGCAUUAACAGUCUCCUAGUUCACCCCGCAAAGGUCUGCAGCUGCUGAUCCAAGUGGAGGCUGAAGCUGGGAGCUGGGACAGGCAGGGCCCCCAGUGGGUGAUGAGCCAGCACCACACCAUCACACUGCCUCCCAGCUUCUGCGUGAGCAGGAAGCUGGAGUCAGGAGCAGGAGCGGGGCACUGAACCAAGUUCUCCAGCAUGGGACGUGGGAUCCCAGCUUCUAGGCCAAAUGCCUGUCCCUCUUGAGUGAUUUUUAAAUCCGGAAAAAAAAAAAAAAGUCCCGAA
Molecule: non-coding RNA, 6342 nt
Organism: Oryctolagus cuniculus (rabbit)
Lineage: Eukaryota; Metazoa; Chordata; Mammalia; Lagomorpha; Leporidae
Source: RefSeq, a predicted model, not a curated record